GUGAGGAAUAUUGCGCAAUGGGCGAAAGCCUGACGCAGCGACGCCGCGUGGAGGAUGAAGGUCUUCGGAUUGUAAACUCCUGUCGUGCGGGACGAAUGCCUCGGUCGCUAAUAUCGGCCGGGGUUGACGGUACCGCAGGAGGAAGCCCCGGCUAACUCCGUGCCAGCAGCCGCGGUAAUACGGAGGGGGCCAGCGUUGUUCGGAAUCAUUGGGCGUAAAGGGCGCGUAGGCGGCCGAUCAAGUCGAACGUGAAAUCCCCCGGCUCAACCGGGGACCUGCGUCCGAUACUGCUCGGCUCGAGUCCCGGAGAGGGUAGUGGAAUUCCCAGUGUAGCGGUGAAAUGCGUAGAUACUGGGAGGAACACCGGUGGCGAAGGCGGCUACCUGGACGGGUACUGACGCUGAGGCGCGAGAGCUGGGGGAGCAAACAGGAUUAGAUACCCCGGUAGUCC
RNAcentral lists this ribosomal RNA (451 nucleotides) under uncultured bacterium. Its description in RNAcentral is "bacterial SSU rRNA". It matches the Rfam family "Bacterial small subunit ribosomal RNA", at positions 354 to 796 of the family's 1533-position model. The record is from RNAcentral.